GACGAACGCUGGCGGCGUGCUUAACACAUGUAAGUCGAGCGGUAAGGCCCGUUUCGGGGGUACACGAGCGGCGAACGGGUGAGUAACACGUGGGUGACCUGCCCUCAGUUCUGGGAUAAGCCUGGGAAACCGGGUCUAAUACUGGAUAUGACCUCAUGACGCAUGUUGUGGGGUGGAAAGCCUUGUGCGACUGAGGAUGGGCCCGCGGCCUAUCAGCUUGGUUGGUGGGGUGAUGGCCUACCAAGGCGACGACGGGUAGCCGGCCUGAGAGGGCGACCGGCCACACUGGGACUGAGACACGGCCCAGACUCCUACGGGAGGCAGCAGUGGGGAAUCUUGCGCAAUGGGCGAAAGCCUGACGCAGCGACGCCGCGUGAGGGAUGACGGCCU
Molecule: ribosomal RNA, 390 nt
Filed under: uncultured bacterium
Lineage: Bacteria
Description: bacterial SSU rRNA
Rfam family: Bacterial small subunit ribosomal RNA
Source: RNAcentral